This 1689-nucleotide ribosomal RNA is filed under the name Orestias ascotanensis. RNAcentral describes it as "16S ribosomal RNA". It matches the Rfam family "Bacterial large subunit ribosomal RNA". The record is from RNAcentral. Lineage: Eukaryota; Metazoa; Chordata; Actinopteri; Cyprinodontiformes; Cyprinodontidae.
GACCCAACAGCUAGCCUCUUCUUCUAUACUCAUCAAGAAGUUAUACCGACCCCUAAAUACCCUAAAAAGUAAUAAGUAAAUCAUUCUUCCCCCUUAGUAUGUGUGACAGAAAAGGAUAACUGAGAGCUAUAGAUAAAGUACCGCAAGGGAAUGCUGAAAGAGAAAUGAAAUAACCCAGUAAAGUAUAAAGAAGCAGAGACUAAGCCUCGUACCUUUUGCAUCAUGAUUUAGCAAGUCCCCUCAAGCGAAAAGUUUUUUAGUUUGACACCCCGAAACUAGACGAGCUACUUCAAGGCAGCCUAUAAAUAGGGCAAACCCGUCUCUGUGGCAAAAGAGUGGGAAGACCUUUAAGUAGAGGUGAUAAACCUACCGAGCCUAGUAAUAGCUGGUUACCUGAGAACUAAAUAGAAGUUUAGCCUUUUAUUUUCUUAUACCAAACUUGGCACUUCCUCUGGCCAGGCCCUGAGAAUAAUAAAGGAGUUAGUCAAAAGGGGUACAGCCCUUUUGAAUAAAGACACAACUUUUCCAGGAGGAUAAGAAUCAAAACUUAAUCAAGGCCAGUGUUCUGGUGGGCCUAAAAGCAGCCACCCUUAUAGAUAGCGUUAAAGCUCAAACACUAAUCCUGCCUUAUAUUCCGACAUCAAAAUUUUAUUCCCCUAAACCAUACCAGGUCGUUCUAUAUUUUAUAGAAAAGAUUAUGCUAGAAUGAGUAAUAAGAGACUAAACCUCUCUCCAAGCACACAUAUAAAUCGGAACGGACCCACCCCCGAAAAUUAGCGGCCCUAACCUAAGAAGGAAAUAGGACUCAAAUAGAAAACUAGAAAACCUCCUAUAAACUCACCGUUGAUCCUACAAUGGCGUGCUCCCCGGGAAAGACUAAAAGGAGAAGAAGGAACUCGGCAAACCGUAAAUAAGCCUCGCCUGUUUACCAAAAACAUCGCCUCUUGAAAUCCCCCUGUAUAAGAGGUCCCGCCUGCCCUGUGACGAAGGUUUAACGGCCGCGGUAUCUUGACCGUGCAAAGGUAGCGCAAUCACUUGUCUUUUAAAUGAAGACCUGUAUGAAUGGCAAAACGAGGGCUUAACUGUCUCCUUCCCCCAGUCAAUGAAAUUGAUCUCCCCGUGCAGAAGCGGGGAUAUAAACAUAAGACGAGAAGACCCUAUGGAGCUUUAGACGCAAUGACCGCCCAUGUUUAACCCCUUGACUAAGAGGCAUAAACCAACUGGGCCCGGGCAUGAUGUCUUUGGUUGGGGCGACCACGGGGUAACGAAAAACCCCCGAGUGGAAUGAGUACACAACUCUUUAAACCCAAGAGCCACAGCUCUAGGAAUCAGAAUUUCUGACCUAAAAGAUCCGGCAAAGCCGAUCAACGAACCGAGUUACCCUAGGGAUAACAGCGCAAUCCCCUUUUAGAGCCCAUAUCGACAAGGGGGUUUACGACCUCGAUGUUGGAUCAGGACAUCCUAAUGGUGCAGCCGCUAUUUAGGGUUCGUUUGUUCAACGAUUAAAGUCCUACGUGAUCUGAGUUCAGACCGGAGUAAUCCAGGUCAGUUUCUAUCUAUGAAAUACCCCUGCCUAGUACGAAAGGACCGGCAAGAGGGGGCCAAUGCUACAAGUAUGCCCCAUCCUUACCUAAUGAAGGCAACUAAAUUAGGUAAAAGGAUAUAGUAUUAAGCUAAAGAUUAUAGCAU